AGCGAACGCUGGCGGCAGGCCUAACACAUGCAAGUCGAGCGGCCGUAGCAAUACGGCAGCGGCAGACGGGAUAGUAACACGUGGGAACGCGCCCUUCGGUUCGGAAUAACUCAGGGAAACUUGAGCUAAUACCGGAUACGCCCUUACGGGGAAAGAUUUAUUGCCGAAGGAACGGCCCGCGUCGGAUUAGCUAGUUGGUGAGGUAAUGGCUCACCAAGGCGACGAUCCGUAGCUGGUCUGAGAGGAUGACCAGCAUCACUGGGACUGAGACACGGCCCAGACUCCUACGGGAGGCAGCAGUGGGGAAUAUUGGACAAUGGGCGCAAGCCUGAUCCAGCCAUGCCGCGUGGAUGAUGAAGGCCCUAGGGUUGUAAAGUCCUUUUAACGGGAAGAUAAUGACGGUACCCGUAGAAUAAGCCCCGGCUAACUUCGUGCCAGC
This 439-nucleotide ribosomal RNA is filed under the name uncultured bacterium. RNAcentral describes it as "bacterial SSU rRNA". It matches the Rfam family "Bacterial small subunit ribosomal RNA", at positions 29 to 512 of the family's 1533-position model. The record is from RNAcentral.